This 68-nucleotide transfer RNA is filed under the name Olivierus martensii (Chinese scorpion). RNAcentral's name for it is "Mesobuthus martensii (Chinese scorpion) tRNA-Gln". Lineage: Eukaryota; Metazoa; Arthropoda; Arachnida; Scorpiones; Buthidae. The record is from RNAcentral.
UCAGCUAGGGUGUAAGGAUUGCACGUUGGGGUUUGGAUCCAAAAGUUAAUAAAAUUAUUAUUGUUGAG